AUGUUUUGUGAUAUUUGGCAUUGGCGAUGUGAUCACACAUUGUCGCUUUACAUCGGCCGCAAGGCUUCAAAGGUAUCCAUCCAUCCAUAAUAUGCAUAUGCUUAUUAUAAAAUAAUAUUAUACUUGUUGAUAUGUUUCCCAUUUAUUUAUUAAAAGCUAUGGAUUUUGUUUACAAAAAAAAACAUAACUAAAAUCAAUCUUCUUACGGACUGCUGAAUUGCCAGGUCUAUUCAACUUAAUUUCCAGGUCGAAAUUACUUGAUUUUGAUAGAAAUAAUUUUCACCAUCUAGUGAAGCCCCUCCUUCAAUAGCAAUUAAGCCUUUGCAACCAGAUCACAAGAAGCACACGGAUGAUGAAGACUCUUGCUUAGUAGCAUCCUCGUAUCCAUACUUCUUAACCAUACUAAAACUAAGGACUAUGAUGUUCAAACCUACUUCUGAAUCAGCCUCGUUCAGGUGUGGUACACGUGCAGAGAGAUCUUAAAAGUUAUAAGAGAAGCUCAAGCACCAGAGGCGGAGAAAAUUAAAUAUGAUGCAAGAACUAUGGUAAAAUAUCAUCUUGUCUAUGGUUCUUAGCAAUAUGAUCAUAAGGUACUGUUUGUUUUCUUUACAAUUACAUAUUUAUGCCUAUUGGGACAGGUCAAAUGGGUUGAAAGUGACCAAAGUUAAUUAAAUGCUUACCUUAUAAAUUGCUUUGUUUAAAAAAUUAGAUUAGUUUCAGAUAGUAACGUUUUCGUAAUUAUAUCGUGUACAUACUGUUUAAAAGAUUGGAUUUUUUGAGGUCUCACGUUUGAUUCCAUCUCCGUUGAAUUUGGCACGAGUUUAUCCUCUCAUUACAGACUGGUAUACAUACUAUUUUCAGAAAGUACAGUAUUUGAAUUCUUAAAGUGAUUGGAAUGCAGU
Molecule: long non-coding RNA, 902 nt
Filed under: Helianthus annuus (common sunflower)
Lineage: Eukaryota; Viridiplantae; Streptophyta; Magnoliopsida; Asterales; Asteraceae
Description: sRNA HanXRQr2_Chr08g0353891
Source: RNAcentral